RNAcentral lists this transfer RNA (74 nucleotides) under Telmatocola sphagniphila. It matches the Rfam family "tRNA". Rfam says of the family: Transfer RNA (tRNA) molecules are approximately 80 nucleotides in length. Their secondary structure includes four short double-helical elements and three loops (D, anti-codon, and T loops). Further hydrogen bonds mediate the characteristic L-shaped molecular structure. tRNAs have two regions of fundamental functional importance: the anti-codon, which is responsible for specific mRNA codon recognition, and the 3' end, to which the tRNAs corresponding amino acid is attached (by aminoacyl-tRNA synthetases). tRNAs cope with the degeneracy of the genetic code in two manners: having more than one tRNA (with a specific anti-codon) for a particular amino acid; and 'wobble' base-pairing, i.e. permitting non-standard base-pairing at the 3rd anti-codon position. The record is from Rfam by way of RNAcentral. Lineage: Bacteria; Pseudomonadati; Planctomycetota; Planctomycetia; Gemmatales; Gemmataceae.
GGGGAUGUAGCUCAAUUGGUUAGAGCGCCGCCCUGUCACGGCGGAGGUUGCGGGUUCGAGUCCCGUCAUCCUCG